CUACGGGAGGCUGCAGUGGGGAAUAUUGCGCAAUGGGCGAAAGCCUGACGCAGCAACGCCGCGUGAGGGAUGAAGGCCUUCGGGUUGUAAACCUCUUUCAGCAGGGAAGAAGCGAAAGUGACGGUACCUGCAGAAGAAGCACCGGCUAACUACGUGCCAGCAGCCGCGGUAAUACGUAGGGUGCAAGCGUUGUCCGGAUUUAUUGGGCGUAAAGAGCUCGUAGGCGGUUAGUCACGUCGGAUGUGAAAAUCCAAGGCUUAACCUUGGACCUGCAUUCGCUACGGGCUGACUAGAGUGUUGUAGGGGAGACUGGAACUCCUGGUGUAGCGGUGAAAUGCGCAGAUAUCAGGAAGAACACCGAUGGCGAAGGCAGGUCUCUGGGCAACUACUGACGCUGAGGAGCGAAAGCGUGGGGAGCAAACAGGAUUAGAUACCCCCGUAGUC
This 444-nucleotide ribosomal RNA is filed under the name uncultured bacterium. Its description in RNAcentral is "partial 16S ribosomal RNA". It matches the Rfam family "Bacterial small subunit ribosomal RNA", at positions 339 to 795 of the family's 1533-position model. The record is from RNAcentral.